CAAAUACCGCAAAGUUUUGCCUCUUUACUUUGGGCUUCAGAAGGUUGACGCCAGGAAUUUGUAUCCGGAGAUUGCAAAAUUGUCUUCAUGGGAAGGAGAUGACAUUCCUUCAGUGGUUGAACGGGCAACAGAAUCAGUAUUUGAGUUGUCUAUACCAACUCUUUGUUAUCCAUUUUUGUCUAAGAAGAGACGUGACACUUGUGUUCAUACUCAAACGGCUCCAGUUUGGUCAACUGAGCGUUCUAUUUUCUUAAACAGAGCCUCUACUUUCUUUGAAAGGCAGAGCAGUGAUCAUGAUGAGACUGCUUCUGUUCGACU
Long non-coding RNA from Corticium candelabrum, 318 nucleotides. RefSeq lists it as uncharacterized. The transcript has 3 exons. The record is from RefSeq and is a predicted model, not a curated record. NCBI's taxonomy places the organism in Eukaryota, Metazoa, Porifera, Homoscleromorpha, Homosclerophorida, Plakinidae.